AUUUUCGUAGACUGGUUAUGGUGAAAUAAAAUAAGUAGCUUCUCAAGGAAGCUUGAUAUUCCAUUCUCCAUAAUUUAAAAGAGCAAAAGUUUUUAACUUGGUCUUGUAGUAGGUCAAAGAGAUCAUUCAAGCAUCUCAAAGAAGCUAAAUACUCCAUUCCAAUAAAGGAAGUCCCUUUAAAUAUCAAUGCUCAUACCAAUUUCUUUCCCUAGAAGCGGAAAAGAAUGUCCAUGGAAACAAAACAAAGGAAUCGAUCGGUUACGUGGUUGAGGGAAAGAUUACUUUGUGAAGUAGUGAUAGUGAAAGCUUCCCUGGACUGGGAGGCUCUUGCUCACGAACAUAAUGAACUGUUUCGUACGGGAAAAACUACGAAAGAGGAACUCGUAAAGAUCUAUAAGAAACUUAAAGAUGAUGCGGUUGUCUUCUCAAUGCUUUUGAAUGUUGAAGGGUUUAGCUGGAAUUAUCAAAAAAACAUUGUCACUUGCAGCAAUGUUAUAUGGCAAGCUCAAUGGGAUAUUCAUCAUGGUGACGAAACGUUUAGACAUCGGGGGCCCAUAUUUUAUGAUGACUUGAAAAUGAUUUUUACGAAUGAAAUUAUCGAAGCUAACCAGUAUACAACCAGAUAGGACAACUUAUCAUGUAUCAGGGUCUACAUGGUCAACGUCAACUUCUUUUGGUGGGGUGGUGUCCGUUUGUAAUUAUGGGAAGGGUCAGUCGAGUUUUGAACAUGGUAGAAAUUUUUAUUAGAUCUUUGCGAUAUUCUAAAGGAUAAGCAUACAGGUUAUUUCCCUUUGCUUAUGAAUGAUAUUCGAGGAGAAAAGGAUCUAUAUGCUGUAUGGUUCGAGUUGGAGGAACCUUUUCAUCGUGCGAUUGUGGAACACUUUAUAAGGAGCAACCCUCUCCCCCUUCAGUAAGCCAGAGGUUGCCAAGUGUUGCCUUUUAGGCCGUUAACCUAAUAACUCUUUCAAUUUACACUCUAUCCUAUUUAUUUGUACAAUUUGCUCAUUCUACCAUUUCUACUUUGUAUAUUCGUUAAGCCCUUUUCACAUGCUUUCUUACUAGGCAUCUGGCACCUGUGCAUUUGUAGGAUAGAACCAUAGGGGUCUUCUUUGUUUCAAAAUGACAUCUUGCUUUGUUGUAAACCCCUUUGAUGCGGAGGCUCUUCAGGAAGUUGUGUAGAAGAGUCUCAAUUUAUAAUGAUGAACUGAUUUAAUAUUACAUAAAUAUGCCUGUUUAAUCACAAAGAGAGAAUAUUUUUCUUGAAAUAUGUAUCCUCUAUUUUGAUUGUCCCUGCGUUUCUAUUACUAGUUUUUGGACACGUGCA
Lycium barbarum (goji berry) is the source of this 1324-nucleotide long non-coding RNA. RefSeq lists it as uncharacterized. NCBI's taxonomy places the organism in Eukaryota, Viridiplantae, Streptophyta, Magnoliopsida, Solanales, Solanaceae. The transcript has 4 exons. The record is from RefSeq and is a predicted model, not a curated record.